UGUGUGUGUGUGUGUGUGUGUGUGUGUGUGUGUGUAUUCUCUCAUCAGGUAACUUCAGAUGCACUGACUAUAUCAUAGUAUUUAAGUAUUAUUUACUUUGCACCAUGGUCUUUAAAUUAUGGAACAACACACACACACACACACACACACACACACA
Molecule: microRNA precursor, 157 nt
Filed under: Marmota monax (woodchuck)
Lineage: Eukaryota; Metazoa; Chordata; Mammalia; Rodentia; Sciuridae
Source: RNAcentral